GAACUGAAGAGUUUGAUCCUGGCUCAGAUUGAACGCUGGCGGCAUGCCUUACACAUGCAAGUCGAACGGAGCGGGGGGGCUUGCCCUUCCGUUGAGUGGCGAACGGGUGAGUAGUGCAUCGGAACGUACCUGGGAGUGGGGGAUAACGUAGCGAAAGUUACGCUAAUACCGCAUAAACUGUGAGCAGAAAAGCAGGGGAUCGCAAGACCUUGCGCUUUUGGAGCGGCCGAUGUCGGAUUAGCUGGUUGGUGGGGUAAAGGCUUACCAAGGCGACGAUCCGUAGCGGGUCUGAGAGGAUGAUCCGCCACACUGGGACUGAGACACGGCCCAGACUCCUACGGGAGGCAGCAGUGGGGAAUUUUGGACAAUGGGGGCAACCCUGAUCCAGCCAUGCCGCGUGAGUGAAGAAGGCCUUCG
Molecule: ribosomal RNA, 417 nt
Filed under: Accumulibacter sp.
Lineage: Bacteria; Pseudomonadati; Pseudomonadota; Betaproteobacteria
Description: bacterial SSU rRNA
Rfam family: Bacterial small subunit ribosomal RNA
Source: RNAcentral